This 425-nucleotide unclassified non-coding RNA is filed under the name soil metagenome. RNAcentral's name for it is "partial contains 5.8S ribosomal RNA, internal transcribed spacer 2, and large subunit ribosomal RNA". The stretch from base 1 to 120 matches the Rfam family "5.8S ribosomal RNA", at positions 35 to 154 of the family's 154-position model. The record is from RNAcentral.
GAUGAAGAACGUAGCGAAAUGCGAUAAGUAGUGUGAAUUGCAGAAUUCCGUGAAUCAUCGAAUCUUUGAACGCACAUUGCGCCUUCUGGUAUUCCGGAAGGCAUGCCUGUUCGAGAGUCAUUAACAACCGUUUCGAUCCCUUUCAUUCAGAAAUUACAAAGAGGAAAAGGGUUUGGUUAUGGUGGAGGAGGGAAAGGGAGCGUUUAGCCUGUAAAAAAAGAGGCUGUGUUCCGCCUCCCCCCCAAAAUUGUACAGGCGGUCGUGUGCGCCCACGCAUCGAGGUGUUGUAAAAGCUGCCACGGCACUUUUCACCUGUGCAGUGCGAGAUUGGCCAGCCGGUUUAAAAACCCCUCCAAACAAUCAAAGGUUGACCUCGGAUCAGGUAGGGAUACCCGCUGAACUUAAGCAUAUCAAUAAGCGGAGGA